Sciurus carolinensis (gray squirrel) is the source of this 756-nucleotide long non-coding RNA. RefSeq lists it as uncharacterized. The transcript is spliced from 5 exons. NCBI's taxonomy places the organism in Eukaryota, Metazoa, Chordata, Mammalia, Rodentia, Sciuridae. The record is from RefSeq and is a predicted model, not a curated record.
AGUGGCAGCGCGCGUGUGAUUUUUUUUCCAGGCCUUUGCUCCUCCCACAGACGCGUUGCGUGGGAGAGAGACGUAUUGUCCUCCUUUCCUUUUUUUUUUAAACUGUGGGAAAAUGUGCGAGAAGACAUGACUCGGGGGCACAACCUCUGAAAUCAGCCUGCUUAGAUCCAAAUCCUGGCUCUACCACAUACCAUCUGAACUCUUUCCAUCAAGUUAUUUCACUUCUCUGGGUCUCAGUUUCCUGAUCUGUAAUAAUCAUAUUUACUUCAGAAGACUAUCAUGAAGAAUAAAAGAAUUCACAUUUGAAAAGGGCUUAAAACAGGUUUGUCGAUGAGGCAGAUCAGAUUCCGAUUUGAUGGGCAACCAAUUAAUGGAACAGACACACCUGCACGGUUGGAAAUGGAGGAUGAAGAUACAAUUGAUGUGUUCAGCAACAGACAGGAGGGUCUACUAAAGAGCGAACCUGUGACUUUACUCCAGAACCCCGUUCUUACAGACCAAGAGUACAUGCUCAAUUAGAAGACGGCAAUUUGGUCCCCCCACAUCUUUACUACUACGAGAUUUGCUAGAAUUCUGUCCUGGGUCCCUCUGGAUCUGGCGCGUCAUGCACCUUGACCAUCAACCGUGGGUCCCGCUGAGUCUCUGGAUCAGCUCAAGCCUCGGUCAGGAAAGCUGAAAAUCAAGAAGAGGCGACACUGCAAGACCAAGAAUUCCAUGCAUCAGAAUGUCCACUUGUUUGAGUUCUUCCAACUGCUG